AGAAGUCCUUCUGUGAAUCACUCUCCCACUUCCACCCCUGAGACUCACUCACGCUCCUAAGACCAGAAUUGAGCCCCACUUUGCUCAGAGUAUUAAUCUUCCCAUCCCUGACAAGAGCCAGGAGAGAGUCUCCCCUGUCCCUAUUUUUUUCCAUCUUUUUCAUUCCAGUUUUAUUGAGAUAUAAUUGACAUACAGCACUGUAUACUUUGGGGGGAUAGGGGAGGUAAUUAGGUUGUAUUUUUUUUUAAUGAAGGCACUGGGGAUUGAACCUCAUGCUUGCUGGGCACAUGCUCUGUCACUGAGCUAUGCACUCCCUGCCCUGUCCCUUUUGCCCACUCACAUCAUGUGCCUUCCACUCUGUCAUCUCCUCCACGAGGUGGGCCUAUGACUAUUUCACUUGACUGGUACUAGUCGAAACACCAUGUCAGGACCCACUCAGAUCAGAAGAGCACACUGCUGACCUCCAGUCAC
Molecule: non-coding RNA, 471 nt
Organism: Vicugna pacos (alpaca)
Lineage: Eukaryota; Metazoa; Chordata; Mammalia; Artiodactyla; Camelidae
Source: RefSeq, a predicted model, not a curated record